Long non-coding RNA from Neofelis nebulosa (Clouded leopard), 875 nucleotides. RefSeq lists it as uncharacterized. NCBI's taxonomy places the organism in Eukaryota, Metazoa, Chordata, Mammalia, Carnivora, Felidae. The transcript has 3 exons. The record is from RefSeq and is a predicted model, not a curated record.
GCCGAGGAACCCAGAAGCCCGGGCUGGGGCUGGGGCUGGGGCUGGGGCUGGGGCUGAUAAACACGCCAGAGGCAUAUCCGGCACGGUUCUCACUGCAGCGGCUUGCUCCACUGCCCAGGCAUGCGGGUUUGUUGUGGGAAGCCCUGGGGAGCCGAGAGGAAGAGCUUGGGAGAACAUGUGGGAAAUUGAGCCCGCCAAGAGAAAUGAAAAACACGUUAGCUGGUGUGAAGGGAAGAGGACGCAGAGACCAUCCAUAGCUUCAACGUUUCCGUCAUCCAUGGCAGAAAGGUGAAAGCGAACUUCUGCAAGGCCAGCCUGAGCCUGAGACCCAGGCCGCCUAAGCAAAAGGCCUCUGGAUUUUUUUUUUUCCUCUGUCAAAACUUGUGCACAGACAGCGACUGUGAUUGCUCUGGGCCAACGUGCAGGAUUUCCAGUUUGGCUCCUAGAGAGAGAGGGAGACACAGAAUCCGAAGCAGGCUCCAGGCUCUGAGCUGCCAGCACAGAGCCCGACGCGGGGCUUGAACCCACGCACCGUGAGAUCGUGACCCGAGCCACCCAGGCGCCCCAAGGUCUUAGCUGGUUUUAAGCUGAAAUCGUUACACGGGGGUUUCCCAGCGUGCGUUUGAUGUGAAGGAUCCUGCGGUCAAAUAAGCUUGGCGAGUGCUGGCAGCUUCAGCCUGGUCUGGGAGAGUCCGGGCGUAAAAGAACACCCUGGAGUUUCUGAGGAGGCCUCCAGGAAAGAGGUCUGGUUACCUUUUCUGGACAGAGUAUUUCCCGGGCGGAGUCAACUCUUUCUGGUAUAAAGUUUAUCCCCACACCUUGAAAUAGUGUUAACACGAGGUACUUCCGGAAAUGCUAACUCACACAACUUACUG